This 87-nucleotide microRNA precursor is filed under the name Pristionchus pacificus. RNAcentral describes it as "mir-2238 microRNA precursor family". It matches the Rfam family "mir-2238 microRNA precursor family". Lineage: Eukaryota; Metazoa; Nematoda; Chromadorea; Rhabditida; Neodiplogasteridae. The record is from Rfam by way of RNAcentral.
GUACUCAAUUCCUUUUUCGUCAGCUCCACAUGCCAAUCGUCGAUUCAAGUACGAAUGGCAAGUGCAGUUUGCGAGAAGGAAGACUCC